Long non-coding RNA from Oreochromis niloticus (Nile tilapia), 417 nucleotides. RefSeq lists it as uncharacterized. The record is from RefSeq and is a predicted model, not a curated record. NCBI's taxonomy places the organism in Eukaryota, Metazoa, Chordata, Actinopteri, Cichliformes, Cichlidae. The transcript is spliced from 3 exons.
GCACAUAUACAUGGCCAAUAAACACGAUUCUGAUUCUGAUUCUGAUUUAUCUCUUUAUCCUGUUUAUAUUCUUAUUAGGUCAUAUCUCCAGUGUUUCCUCGGAGGGGGCUCUCUGCACCAGGGCUGUGAUCGACCGUGGCUGCUUGGGCUCUGUGGGUCCUCUCAGCCUGGCUGGGGGGCUUCUUUGCCUCCCUCCUGCUGUGUGCCCAGCCUGGAGGCUGCGGUCUGUGACCGGCUCUGUGUUUCCUCACUUGGCUACUGAGUAACAGGAGUCUGGUGGAGCAACAGAGGAACAAUUUCAGCCAUUUGGACUCAGCUCAGCCACUACAGAGGAAACAAUGACUUCAAAACAAAAGGACCAACAUGGAGCGAGAAGUCAGCGCUCUCAGGAGGCGGACAAACCUCACAGAAGAAAGG